AGUGAACGCUGGCGGUAGGCCUAACACAUGCAAGUCGAACGGCAGCACAGUAAGAGCUUGCUCUUACGGGUGGCGAGUGGCGGACGGGUGAGGAAUACAUCGGACUCUACUUUUUCGUGGGGGAUAACGUAGGGAAACUUACGCUAAUACCGCAUACGACCUACGGGUGAAAGCAGGGGAUCUUCGGACCUUGCGCGAUUGAAUGAGCCGAUGUCGGAUUAGCUAGUUGGCGGGGUAAAGGCCCACCAAGGCGACGAUCCGUAGCUGGUCUGAGAGGAUGGUCAGCCACACUGGAACUGAGACGCGGUCCAGACUCCUACGGGAGGCAGCAGUGGGGAAUAUUGGACAAUGGGCGCAAGCCUGAUCCAGCCAUACCGCGUGGGUGAAGAAGGCCUUCGGGUUGUAAAGCCCUUUUGUUGGGAAAGAAAAGCAGCAGGUUAAUACCCCGCUGUUCUGACGGUACCCAAAGAAUAAGCACCGGCUAACUUCGU
Molecule: ribosomal RNA, 491 nt
Filed under: uncultured bacterium
Lineage: Bacteria
Description: partial 16S ribosomal RNA
Rfam family: Bacterial small subunit ribosomal RNA
Source: RNAcentral